RNAcentral lists this ribosomal RNA (616 nucleotides) under uncultured bacterium. RNAcentral's name for it is "bacterial SSU rRNA". It matches the Rfam family "Bacterial small subunit ribosomal RNA", at positions 338 to 954 of the family's 1533-position model. The record is from RNAcentral.
CCUACGGGAGGCAGCAGUGAGGAAUAUUGGACAAUGGGCGCAAGCCUGAUCCAGCCAUGCCGCGUGCAGGAUGACGGUCCUAUGGAUUGUAAACUGCUUUUGCACAGGAAGAAACAACGCUACGUGUAGCGUCUUGACGGUACUGUGAGAAUAAGGAUCGGCUAACUCCGUGCCAGCAGCCGCGGUAAUACGGAGGAUCCAAGCGUUAUCCGGAAUCAUUGGGUUUAAAGGGUCCGUAGGCGGUUUAGUAAGUCAGUGGUGAAAGCCCAUCGCUCAACGGUGGAACGGCCAUUGAUACUGCUAAACUUGAAUUAUUAGGAAGUAACUAGAAUAUGUAGUGUAGCGGUGAAAUGCUUAGAGAUUACAUGGAAUACCAAUUGCGAAGGCAGGUUACUACUAAUUGAUUGACGCUGAUGGACGAAAGCGUGGGUAGCGAACAGGAUUAGAUACCCUGGUAGUCCACGCCGUAAACGAUGGAUACUAGCUGUUGGGAGCAAUUUCAGUGGCUAAGCGAAAGUGAUAAGUAUCCACCUGGGGAAGUACGUUCGCAAGAAUUGAAACUCAAAUUGAAUUGACCGGNGUUGAGACGNGCGACGGACGACGACGAGGGAGGAGG